RNAcentral lists this ribosomal RNA (767 nucleotides) under Clostridium perfringens. Its description in RNAcentral is "partial 23S ribosomal RNA". It matches the Rfam family "Bacterial large subunit ribosomal RNA", at positions 424 to 1191 of the family's 2925-position model. Lineage: Bacteria; Bacillati; Bacillota; Clostridia; Eubacteriales; Clostridiaceae. The record is from RNAcentral.
ACGUGAAACCUUGUGGGAAGCAGGGAGGACCACCUCCCAAGGCUAAAUACUACCUGAUGACCGAUAGUGAAGCAGUACCGUGAGGGAAAGGUGAAAAGAACCCCGGGAGGGGAGUGAAAUAGAACCUGAAACCGUGUGCCUACAACCGCUCAGAGCCCCUUAUGAGGGUGAUGAGGUGCUUUUUGUAGAACGAGCCAACGAGUUACGGUAUGUAGCAAGGUUAAGUACUUAAGGUACGGAGCCGAAGGGAAACCGAGUCUGAAUAGGGCGACUAGUUGCAUGCCGUAGACCCGAAACCGGGUGACCUAUCCAUGGCCAGGUUGAAGCGAGGGUAAAACCUCGUGGAGGACCGAACCACGUUGCUGUUGAAAAAGCAUGGGAUGAGCUGUGGAUAGCGGAGAAAUUCCAAUCGAACCCGGAGAUAGCUGGUUCUCUCCGAAAUAGCUUUAGGGCUAGCGUCGAGUAUGAGUAGUGGAGGUAGAGCACUGAAUGGGCUAGGGGGCAUAGCGCUUACCGAACCUUAUCAAACUCCGAAUGCCACAUACUUUGAGCUCGGCAGUCAGACUACGAAUGAUAAGAUCCGUGGUCAAAAGGGAAACAGCCCAGAUCGUCAGCUAAGGUCCCAAAGUGUAAGUUAAGUGGGAAAGGAUGUGAGAUUUCUAAGACAACUAGGAUGUUGGCUUAGAAGCAGCCAUUCAUUAAAAGAGUGCGUAAUAGCUCACUAGUCGAGAGAUCUUGCGCCGAAAAUGUAACGGGGCUAAACUUAC